Molecule: unclassified non-coding RNA, 304 nt
Organism: Callithrix jacchus (white-tufted-ear marmoset)
Lineage: Eukaryota; Metazoa; Chordata; Mammalia; Primates; Cebidae
Rfam family: Metazoan signal recognition particle RNA
About the family: The signal recognition particle (SRP) is a universally conserved ribonucleoprotein. It is involved in the co-translational targeting of proteins to membranes.
Source: Ensembl
GCCGGGCACAAUGGUGUGUGCCUGUAGUCCCAGCUACUCAGGAGGCUGAGGUGGGAGGAUCGCUUGAACCCAGGAAUUCUUGGCUGUAGUGCCCUAUGCCGAUCGGGUGUCCAUCCGCACUAAGUUCAGCAUCAAUAUGGUGACCUCCCGGGAGUGGGGGACCACCAGGUUGCCUAAGGACGGGUGAACCGGCCCAGGUCAGAAACGGAGCAGGUCAAAACUCCCAUGCUGAUCAGUAGUGAGAUCACGCCUGUGAAUAGCCACCGCACUCCAGCCUGGGCAACAUAGCAAGACCCCGUCUCUA